Long non-coding RNA from Monodelphis domestica (gray short-tailed opossum), 12434 nucleotides. RefSeq lists it as uncharacterized. NCBI's taxonomy places the organism in Eukaryota, Metazoa, Chordata, Mammalia, Didelphimorphia, Didelphidae. The record is from RefSeq and is a predicted model, not a curated record.
AACCCUACAGACCAAUGAGAAACUGAGAACUCAAACUCUGCCUUCCUCUAGCCUCUCUCUACCACUUUGAGUUGGAAUUCAGAUUGAGUCCAACUGAGAUUCAGUAAUGAGUUCUGCCUUAUGAAGAUUGACAGAGAUCAAGUUCAAUUCCACGGGAACUUCACAAGUUCCUCUUUGGGAAAACUACUACCACCACCACCACGAUCAUGCUUUUUGGGCUUUUACUAUAAAUUUCAUCAAGGUAUCUUAGUUUCAUUUCACAUUAAGUCCUUGUCUCAGGUGUCAGUACCUCUACAGAUGUCUGUUAAAGCUCAGACAGGACUGGUGGUGAACAAUGGAGAGACUUAGAACUUUUUAAUAAUCAAAACUUAUCUUAUUUAAGAAGGGCAUGUGAAUAUCUUGUAGAGGCCAUGAAAACUUUUGCAAAAAGACCUAAUAGUUGGAGAAUAUUUGAACAACUGAGACAGGAAAUGAGAGAACACCCAUCAGUGUAUCUAGAUGGGGUAGUCAAGGCUGCUGAGAACAUUCUUGGAUUUCAAAACCUGAAGGAAGACAAUUUCCAGCACAGCAGUAGACAAUUCAUUUAAGGAAGCAGCCUGCCCAUAAAAACAUAUUUUAGGUUGCAUUGACUUGGAUGGGAGUGUAGAGGAAUUAAGUGUAGAGGAAUUAAGGAAAACAUCAACUUUCCUUUACUCAGGUGAUAAGAAUACAAAGGAAAAAGAUGAGAUAAAGAUCUCAAACAGCAGCUUAAAGAGGCAAAUAACACCAUCAACCAAAAAGAGAUAGAAGAAAUAAAAAACUUAGCCACUUCACAAUCUUACAAACCCAGAAGAGAUUUCCAACAGAAUUGGCAAAGAACCAAUUUCUAGAGAUGCUUUUUGUGUGGCAAAAUUGGGCACAUAGUUAGGUAUUAUAACUUGAAGGCACAACUAGACUUAAAAAACAAUGUGUCAUCAAGGAAGAAUGACCAAAAGCAGAGUAAAACCUGAAAUUUAAUGAAGAUAGAUCCAGGUAUGAUAGAUGAGGUAUAUGGAACAUUCAACCAGUGGGGGAAGGGAGAAUUUGAGAAUUCUAUUUGAAGAUUCAAAGGAGGAGAAAAUUGUUGGCCAGAGCUGAGUCUGGUCACUCACUCACUCACUCACUCACUCACUCACUCACUGACUCUCUCACCAAAGAAUCUGACAAGAGCUAAGGAGGAGAGUUGUUUUCCAAUACCCUUUCUACCUGGCUGAGUGGAAGUUCUUGCCCACUGAAGACCUCUGCUGAUUUAAAUUCAUUUUCUCCUUGGGGAAAGUCAAAAAAUCUUCAACAGUUGAUAGGGAAGACAUUAAGGACCUCCCAUCUCUUCCCUCUACCCCUCUCUCUUCCUAUCUUUCUUUCCCAAGAAAUAAAUUAGCCAUUUAGUAUACAGAAGAUUGUCUCUAAAUUUUGUAAUAGGAGGGAAGAAUUCAAAGUCAAAGAAGAAAGUUGAGAGGGAAUGACUCACUUUUGGUCAGAUCCAGACUCCAUUAAGAUGGAACAGCUUAGUGGAGGAAGGAGGUAGUGGCUACACAUUAAUCGGCUCCCUCCAGCAGCUGAGCAGCUGGUUUCCUGUUCCUAGCACUUUAAACUCCUCUGUCUAUCCCACUAUUACAAUUUGGCACCCCAAGAAAAAAAUGAACCCACCCCAGGCUAUUGAAAAGAUAAAAUAGAGGUGUGUUUGUAAAGGAAACAAGAGAAUAUGAUGCUACAAGUUAUCUUCUGGGCAUCAGUGCUGAUAGCUAUUAUAAUAUAUUGGUCAUAUUUUAUUAUAUACAAUACAGUGAGACAGGGGUUAUGAUAGACACUGUAAACUUUAUAGCAAACUCAACAUCUUUCAUUACAAUGAUACCAUUUUCUAAUACUGUGAUAUGGCAAGUGGUAACACAGAUUUACAUUAUUCUCAUGGCCACAAUUCAGACCCUCUCCUAUUUGAGAAACAUUUUAAGACUGAUUACACCUAAGAAAGCUGCCCAAAUAUUGGUACUUGAUAACCUAGAAAUAAUGGUUCAAAGAAUGUGCUGUGAAUAUGUUUGCAAUCAGGGAAAAAGGAAAUGAUAAGGAAGGGACUGAAACAAAUGCAGGGAUUCCGGUUGGGGACACAGUGACUUCAUGAAAAGAUACAAACAAAACUAAUGACACUGAAGCACAUGAUACAAGGGCAAGGGUCAAAGUUUCUAAUAAGGCAGAGGAAAGUCAAUAAUAAUACAACAUCUGAUGAAGUCACAAGGUCUCAGAAAAUCUUACCUCUAAGGGACAUAGCUAAAAUAACCAAUGAGGCUGUUGUACUACACUCAAAGGUACAUAAGUCAUUUUCAACCCAAGGCUUGGACUCUCUGAAACGUCAGUUUCCAAAAUUCCUGUACGAACCUUACAAAUGUCUAAAAGAACUGAAAUGGGCCUUCAAAAUCUUCAAGCCUGACUUGGAUGAUGCAGAUUUAAUAUCAGAAGUAUUCAGCCCCCAUUAACACCAGACAAUUUGUAGAAAAAACUAGACAGGAUGCUAAUUUGACUGACUGGCCCAAGGCAAAUGCAAGGGAGGACUUUGACUUUACUAGCCCAUCAAGUUUUGCUUAUCUGAGAAAAUGAAGAGAAGACCUUUUGCAAGAUGAAUCCAACCCAGGCUAUUGAAAAGAUAAAAUAGAGUUGUGUUUGUAAAGGAAACAAGAGACAACAUGAUGCUACAAGUUAUCUUCUGGGCAUCAGUGCUGAUAGCUAUUAUAAUAUAUUGGGCAUAUUGUAUUAUAUACAGUGACAGGGGUUAUGAUGGACACUAUGAACUUUAUAGCAAACUCAAUAUCUUUCAUUACAAUAAUACCAUUUUCCAAUACUGUGAUGUGGCAAGUGUUAACACAGAUUUACAUUAUUCUCAUAGCUAAGAUUCAGACCCUCUCCUAUCUAAGAAAUAGUUUAAGACUGAUUAUACCCAAGAAAGCUGCCCAAAUACUAAUACUUAAUGACAAAUUAGAACAAAUGGUUCAGAGAAUGUGCUGUGAAUAUCUAGCAAGCAGAGAAAAAGUAAAGGAUAAGGAAGGGACUUUAUCUCCAGGCUUGAUAUUGUGUAGUGAAAAAUCCAGUAGUACCCUUUGUACUAACAAUCCUAGCUUUCUUAAUUCUUCCAACCUAUUUUGUAUUUCUACUAAAUAGGUAUGGAGUUGGCAUUCUCCUUUUAGCAUGGAAACACAAGAUGGUUUUGCUAUUCUACCUUGCCACAAAGGUUGACCAUGUAGCAUUUUUUUAAAAAAUUAUUUUAUUUGGUCAUUUCCAAACAUUAUUCAUUGGAGACAGAGAUCAUUUUCUUUUCUUUCCCCGCCUCCCACCACCUCUCCCAUAGCCGACGUGUGAUUCCACUGGGUAUCACAUGUGUUCUUGAUUCGAACCCAUUUCCAUGUUGUUGGUAUUUGGAUUAGAGUGUUCAUUUAGAGUCUCUCCUCAGUCAUAUCCCCUCAUCCCCUGUAGUCAAGCAGUUGCUUUUCCUCGGUGUUUUUACUCCCAGUUUGUCCUCUGCUUGUGGAUAGUGUUUUUUCUCCUAGAGCCCUGCAGAUUGUUCAAGGACAUUGCAUUGACACUAAUGGAGAAGUCCAUUACGUUCGAUUGUACCACAGUGUAUCAGUCUCUGUGUACAAUGUUUUCCUGGUUCUGCUCCUUUCACUCUGCAUCACUUCCUGGAGGUUGUUCCAGUCUCCAUGGAAUUCCUCCACUUUAUUAUUCCUUUUAGCACAAUAGUAUUCCAUCAUCAACAUAUAUAACAAUUUGUUCAGCCAUUCUCCAAUUGAAGGGCAUCCCCUCAUUUUCCAAUUUUUGGUCACCACAAAGAGCACAGCUAUGAAUAUUCUUAUACAAGUCUUUUUCCUUAUUAUCCCUUUGGGGUACAAACCCAGCAAUGCUAUGGCUGGAUCAAAGGGCAGACAGUCUUUUAUUGCCCUUUGGGCAUAGUUCCAAAUUGCCCUCCAGAAGACCAUGUAGCAUUUUGAAUGGGGAGAUGUACAAGUUGCCUUUGGGUCUAAUUCUCAGUUGAAAUAAAGCUAAAGGAAGAACAUCUGUCCACUUUAAGUGUGUCUGUGCACAGAGUUUCCCUAUGGUUGUUUUCAAUUCCAUGUUCAUGUGCUCAACUUGCCUUGAACUCUGAGGUCUGUAUAUAUCAUGUAAACUACUUUUUAUUCCCAAGUUCUUAUAUACUUCUUGUAGGAUCUCAGAAGUGAAAAAUGAGUUCCCUUGUCUGAGUGUAAUAUCAGGAAUACCAUAUCUAGGAAUUAUUUCUUUCAGCAAUGAUUUUACUAUUGUGACUGUGUUGUUGCUUUUAGUUGAAUAUGCCUCAACCCAUCUCAUCAAAACAUCCACAAUAAUGAGUGCAAAUUUGAAUCCCUUGUCAUUUAGCAUGGAAAUGUAGUCUGCAGACAUUGGAAUAGCAUAUAGCUUAAAGUCUGCCUCCCAAUGCUAUGUUCUUAAAGUGACCCUGAUUGAAUUUCCUACAUAUGUCACAUGCCUGACAAACUCUAAUAGCACUUGUAGAUAUCUCUGGGACAGUCCAAAAUCAACAUAUUGAGAAUGGAUUGUACUCCAUAAUGACCUUUGGAGUGAAUCACAUUGCACAGAUGUUGGUAUAGUCAUGUAAUUCAAGCAGAUGUAGACUUGGAUGGACAGGAAAUGAUUGAGCUUUGUACUGAUGUUACCAAUUCUUGAAACCUUUAAACCUCCAAAUAAUACUGAACCCUGUUUCUGUAACUAGGGGAUCAGAUAUAUGAUCUUUUGGUGAAUACUGGAGCCAGUAAAUCAGUGUUGCAAAGUCUUCCUAAAGAUUGUAAAGCUGUUGGUCCUAUGGAAGUGAUUGGAGCGAUUGGAAAACCUGAAAGAGUACCAAAACUACAACCUAAAAUGAUUACUUUAGGUCCACUGACCAUGGAGCAUGCACUUCUUUGUCCAGUGAACCUUCUCGGGAGUGACUUGCUUUGUAAAUUGCGAGCAAUAAUUCAAUGUACUAACGCUGGGGAUAUAUCACUACAACUCCCAGAAGAAUCUCUGAAGGCUUUUCCAUUGCUGUUCUUAGAUUUAGUCAGUGAAGAGAAUGAGUUUAAUUCCAUCUAUCAUAUUCCUGAGGGGAUAGACCAGGAGAUUUAUGAGCAAAGUCUUCCACAGAUGUAGGCCUAUCGAAAUAAGUUAAUCCAAUAAUAGUGAGAAUCAAGGAAGGACCAAUUCCUUGUGUUCCUCAAUAUCCUUUAAGUAAAGAAGCUAUAGAUAGAGUAAGACCUAUUAUUGAAUCCCUAAUUCAAGAAGGGAUCACAAUACCCUGUUUCUCAUAAUACAAUACUCCCAUGAGGCCAAUAAAAAAACAAAAGUUCAGUCAAGAUGGCAGAAUUGUCUAUAGAUUCAGAGUUGUAAAUGAUCAUGUCAGUCAGUGGUAGUCUCUUGGUGAUCGAGAAUGACUAUUGUCUUUGUGAAGUUUUGUCUACGGUGUACCCUCAUAUGGCUUUGAGUCCAAAAGCUGAGGCGCAGAGUUUAUGGCACAUGGGGCCUGGGACGCCAGUUGUUACAGGAGGUGCGGUUGUGGCCUGGUGUCGGCGUUCACGCGCAGCGGCAAGACGUCGACGUCGCUCAUCUUCAAAGGUGGCGGCGGCCUGGUUAAUGUGGGUUCGCCAGCUGCUUCUCUCAGAGGCAGCGAGUUCUAGUUGCUUUGGUGUAAUACCAGCCCACUUCAAGUUGGACUUUAGCUGAUCCUUGAAUCUUUUCUUUGGUCGGCCUUGUUUCCUGAGUCCAGCUGACAGUUCACCGUAGAAUACCUGUCGGUAUUCGCUGUGGGUCCAUGCAGAUGACGUGUCCAGACCAUCGUAGCUGGGUUUUGAGGACCAGGACUUCGAUGCUGGUGGAGUUGGCUCUGUUGAGGACUUCCUGAUUGGUGAUUCGGUCCUGCCAUUGGAUCCUCAUGAUGGACCAGACAGAGCUUUGGUGGAAUUGCUCCAGCUGUUUCAUGUGCUUCCGGUACAGUGUCCAUGUUUCACAACCUUACAGGAGCGAGCUGAGGACCACUGUGUUAUACACUUUGAGCUUCGUCGCAGUGCUUACACCGCUGUGUUGGGGGACUUUGCAGCGCAGCCGCCUGAGUGCCUGGCUGGCCUUUUGGAUGCUGGCAUUGAUCUCAUGGUCUAGGGACCCGUCGUUGGCGAUGGUACUGCCCAGGUACUUGAAAGUGUUGAUGUUAGAAAGCUGCAUGCCUUCAAUUGUAAUGCACGGCUGGUUAGUUGGCCUCCCUGGUGCAGGUUGGAAGAGCACCUCUGUUUUGCUGAGGCUGAUAGUCAGGCCAAACAGUUUUGUUGCGGUGGAGAACCUGUCCACAAUGGUUUGGAGAUGAUUUUCUUGGUGGGCCAUGAGAGCACAGUCAUCUGCGAAGAGAGCUUCCAGGAUGAGUCUCUCUGUUGUCUUUGUUUUUGCAGUCGGGCAGUCAGUUAGCAGAGUGGCGCAGCGGAAGUGUGCUGGGCCCAUAAACCAGAGGUCGAUGGAUCGUAACCAUCCUCUGCUAUCUCGUGGUUACCACUGGGGUGUAUGGGGUGCUCAGGGAGGGGUAGUAUCUCUGGUAUGGAGGGAUUGUCGUGCCCUCCUAGGGCAGCUCUCCAGCCUCUGACACCCAGCUCUCACUUGUGGCUCCCAGUAGCUGCUAGCAUGUGGCAGUGGCCACACCCCAGGCAAUGGCUUCGACAGGCCGGCCAAACCUUGUGAGGGUAGCCAUUGGGUCAUCGACCCCUGGUGAACCAGGGCUUUGCUCACCCAGCAUGUGAAAAUGAUCAUGUAAUAAAGACUCAUCCUAUAGUACCAAGUCCAGCUGCUAUAAUCUCAUCCUUUCCAAGUCAAGCAAGAUAUUUCACCGUGGUAGAUUUAUGUUCAGCAUUUUUCUCGAUGCCAGUUCAUGAGGAUUCUCAAAAGAUCUUUGCUUUCACAUGGGAUAGUACCCUAUUGUAAUAGUCCACCCAUGUGUAUGUACAAGGUAGAUGUUUAAUCUGUAAGGAUUGUGUUGGGAAAUCAUGCUCAGUCCAGUGCAUGGCAGGAAAGGCCUUUGAUCCCAGCAUUCUUAAGAUUGUGGCGCGAACACAGAUAUCUUUGUGCUCACCUGGCUGAGGUAAUCCACGCCUCUGCCUUGUAACUUACUCUUGAACCAAUGGCAAUCCACUGUGUCUUCAUUAAUAUGUAUUACAUACCUUUACAUCACAAUGUCAAUAAAUACUAGCAGCACACAGAGAGCCACUCUUUUUAUCUCUUUCACCUGUCCCUCUCCUACCUGGAACUUGGCCUCUGGCCAGGAACCACUUUUCUUAUGGAACUUCCUUGUUCUCUGUAAAAGACCUUUCCUUCUUAAUCUCCUAAUGUCAAGGCUGUGUGAUCUGUGCUUAGAGUGCAAGCUCUAAGCCAUCAGAGGUUAUUCUCUCAGCUGAUCUCUAUGCUCAUUCCUGAGUCCCAUAUUGUUGAUUUAAGGUUAUCUAACUGUCUUGUUUCCUUGCAAAGUUAGAUAGCUAGGGCUCACUGUGUAGCUCGCUCUUUGUUUAAAUUGCGUAGGUGUCUGGCUCUAUUCUUAUCCAUUACCUUGGCUCCAGCUCUUCCCUCAAGGUCUAAUCAACCAAUCUUUCCUUUCAUAUAACGGCUGCUGGACAGCACAUUAUACCUAUGGACUUUCAUUCAUCUUCCACAGGGAUACUGUGAUAGCCCAAGUCAAUUCUCUCAAAUUUUGAGAACAGAGACCUUAUAAUAUCAUUCAAGGAAAGUAAAAUAGUAAGUUUUGUACAUGAUAUCCUCCUAGCAUCUACAUCUGCUAAAGUGUGUUUAAGAGAUAGCAAGAUUCUUUUGAUUGAAUUACAUAAAUGUGGACAUAAAAUCUCUAAAGCAAAACUUCAGUGGGUUUUGCCUUGCGUUGAAUAUCUUGGUUUUGUAUUGUCAGAGGGUUCCAGAAGUAUCACUAAGAAAAGAAUGGCUGAUAUCCAGAAACCAAGUGUGCCUAAGACCAAGAAGCAACUCAGAGCUGUUCUUGGGACAACUGGUUUUUAUAGACAAUGAAUACUUGGAUAUAGUGAAAUUACUAAAUGUUUAACAAAUCUAACCUGGAAUCUGCAAGCCUUAAGGAAGCUUAAAGGAAGCAAUUUUAUCUGCACCACCUCUUGGAAUCCCAGACUGUUCUAAACCUUUUCAAUUAUUUAUGAAUGAGGCAAAAGAAAUUGCAUCUGAUGUACUGACACAGACUUUAGGACAAAGUUAUCAUCCAAUUGGAUACUAUAGUUGUCAGCUAGAUCCAAUUGCUGCAGGUACAGUUCCUUGUUUAAGGGGUAUAGCUGCUGUAGCUGUGUUAGUUCAAAGGUCAUCAGACUUAGUUUUGGGAUGUCUGUUGACAGUAUUUUGUUCACAUCAAAUAAAAGCACUUAUGAGGAAAUUUCGUACUCAAGCAUAUUCAGACCAACGAAUAUAAAAUUAUACUUCUAGGUAGUGAAAACAUUGAGUUGAAAAGGUGUAGUGUAUUAAACCUAGAUACACUUCUUCCUGAUUUGCCAAAGAACAGUGAACCAUUACAUGAAUGUUUAGAAGAAGUAGAUCUAGUGGAUGUGCCGAGGAUGGAUUUAAAAGACACUCCAAUUGAAAAUCCAGAUUUGGUUUUAUUCACAAAUUGAUCUUCAUAUUUGUGUAAUGGAAUUAGAUGUACAGAUGCUGCAGUUGUCACAGAAUUUGAGACACUGUGGUAUGGAUCAUUAUCUAGUAACCUUAGAGCUCAAAAUGCAGAGUUGAUCGCUUUAAAGCAAGCAUUUCUUCUGGCCGCUGGUAAAAGUGCUAACAUUUACACAGACUCACAUUAUGCUUUUUCUGUUUGUCAUGCUACAGGAAAUAUCUGGAAACAAUGAGGUUUUAUUACUGCCUUGGGAAAACCAAUUGCUCAUGCAGAAAUAAUAACUGAGUUGUUGGAUGCUAUCCAGAAACCUAAACAGUUAGCGGUAAUCCAUUGUAGAAGUCAUACUAAUAGAAGAGAUUCAAUUGCUAAAGGAAAUCAUAGAGCUGAUAUAACUGCUAAAUUUGCUGCUAGAAAUGCCCCAGUGUAUAUUAUGAACUUAUCAACUAUAGAAUCUGAUGAUCUAGAAAAAGCUUAUGUAGACUCAGAAAUAUAAAAAUGGAAAGUGAAGUUUGGAGCAAGAAAAGAACAUGGUAUAUGGUUAACAGAUACAGGAAAACCGCUGUUACUAAAAGACCUAUAUACCUAUUUGCAUCAAGCCAUUCACACAAAAGGUCAUUUUGGUACUCAAGUUAUAAUUGACACCAUAAAGAGACAAUGGGUUGCUUCUGGAAUAAGUACUGUAGCAAAUAAGAUCUGCUCAAGCUGUUCUGUUUGCCAAAAAUUCAAUCAAGGAGCAUUCAGACACAAAGGUUUAUAGGUGGUAGACCUUUAGCAUAUUUUCCAUUUGAGAGUCUGCAGAUUUAUUACAUCAGCAUGCCAAAAGCUAGCAGAUACAAGUUUUGCUUGGUAAUUGUUGAUAGAUUAACUAAAUGGCCUGAAACUUCCAUCAAAUACAAAUACAGGUAGCUUUGUGGUGAAAGUGUUAAGGAAAUUAUACCUAGAUUUGGAGUACCAAUAACAACAGACUCUGAUAAAGGAUCCUAUUUCGCUCAUGACAUCCUGAAAAGAGUCUGAAAAUCUAGGAAUAGCACCAAAAUAUCAUGUGUCUUAUCAUCCACAAAGUUCAGGGCAAGUGGAGCACAUAAAUAAGGAAAUAAAGACUAUUGUGGGGAAGCUCUGUGCUGAAACUCAUUUCAUAUGGCCAGAGAUUCUUCCCAUAGCUUUGUUUUACCUACCUAUGAAGCCAAGAGCAGAUUUACAUAUAUCAUUCUAUGAAAUGCUCUUUGGACAUACUCCACUACAAGCAAAAACAUUUAAGACAGUCUAUACAUCUCUCUUAGGAGGAGAUUGUCAACUUGCUUCUUAAGUGCUUUACAACAAAGACUAAAAGAAUUACAUGAUAUGGGAAUAUUAAUUAAAACUGGUCCUUUGGAUUAUUCUCUUCAUAAUUAUGAACCAGGAGAUAUAGUAUAUGUAAAAAAUUUUGCUAAAACAUCAGCAACACAGGAAAGUUGGUUAGGUCCUUACACUAUUGUGUUGGUUUCUCCAUCUUCAGUAAGAAUUUUGGGUAGGGAUUCCUGGUGUCAUUGUUCACAUAUAAAAUUAGCACAUGGUAUAAUAAUAAAAAUGUAUAAAUAAUUGAAGAAGAAGAAAAUGAAGAAGAGAUUGCAAAAAGAUAAAAUCAUCAGAUUGAGUCUGCAGUCAAAAAGAUCAGUAAGGAGAGGACCAUUUCUGCGGAAGAGGAUAGAAGAGGACAAUGUAGAUGAAGAGGAGAAUUCAGGAAUUAAUGGACAUUGUUAAAAGACUGAACAUUUAUAAACUUAAAAGACUGUAAAAUUUGCAAUGAAGAGGAUUACAGGAUAAAUGGAAUAAUGAAUUUAUACUUUGGGUAAAGUAUUAUAGUAAAUAACAUAGCAUUUAUUCACAUAUGUAAAAAUGGACUUGAAUCCAGGACUUAAAUCCCCAGAAGUCCUUGCUCCACUUCCCCAAAAUGCUUUGUAAUCUCACUGAAUUCUCACCUGGGCCGAGAGCAAAAUGAUUAUUUAAAGGGUCUCUGCCCACGGCAGGGGCUCUUCUCUUCUUGGCUCCGCUGGCAAACAGACGCAUCUCAUGAUGUGAGUGAAAUUUGGGUGGGCCUCAUGGCCACCUAGCAUGUGCUUCUCUAGCUUGUAUUUUCUUUAACCCUUGACCUUUAAUAAACCUCAUAAAAAUAAUACUCCUUGCAGAGAGAAACUAAUUUCUACCUGCCUCAGCUUCCUAAAAUUUUAAUCUUUAUACAUACAAACAUAAAUAUAUUUCCUACUAUGGAAUUGCAGAAGGAUAUUCAAAGAGGAGGUGAGAUGAGAAAGAAAGAUCUGAAGUAUGGGUAAGUAUGUUGCAUACAACAGUAACAUAACUCUUACAUAACAGUAACACUGACAUUUAAAUAGCAAAACAACAUGACAUAGCAAAAGUAACAACAUAAUAAAACAAACACAAAACAUAAACAUGGUUAGAUUACAUUAAAUCACUACUUGAAUGAGUGAAACAAUGUAUAGUUAGGGUACUAACAGUGUUAUGAUUUACUAACAAAAUGUAAUUACAUACUUAGAUUUAGUUUAGGUAUAGAAAUUUAGUUAGGAGAAGUAUUUUGAAGAUAGAGAUUAGUUAGGUAAAAUUAAGAUAAGAAACUUAGAGACUGACUUGUACUACAUCAUACAUUAUACAACACAAACAACAUAUGACAUCACAUAUGAAACAAAAUAGUAAAUUAUGUAAAUAUAUGUAAAUAAGGUGUAUAAUAGGAUUGUAAGUUAAUUGUAUUAUAGUGUAUGUAUAUAUGUAACAUAUGUGUAAAUAUGAAAUAUAUGUGCAUAUGUAUAUAACUCAUGUGUAUAUUGUAUGUAUAUACUAUAUGUAUACAUGUAAAUUAUUACAUAGUUCACUAAUAUUUAUUGUUACAUGUAUUUGCAUAAGUGAGUUUGAUGUUUGGUUUGAUUUUCAUUGUAAAACUUAUGCAAUGUUGUGUUUAUUGUAAUUUUCAAAAAAUUUUUUCUCUAAUGUUAAUGUACUGCAAAAGUAGUACAAUGUUCUGUUUUAGCUGGUAAGAGUAUUUUAAGUUUGGUGUUAUCUUUUGUUUGAUGUCAUUUGCUAUUUUGAUUUUGCUUCUAUUUGACAUUUGUACUUGUUCAGUGUUUACUUCAUUUUCCUUUUCCUUUUUCCUUGUUAAAAUUCCCUAGAAUAGGUUAGUUUUAGUUAGAGUAAGAUAGCUGAGUGUAGGUUGUUUGUUAUUUGGGGUAGAUUUCUUAGUUUAGGUAAUUGGUAAGUAUUUUAAAUUGUGCACAAAUGCAACACUAUUUUUGAUUCGUGCAAAAGGGGGACUGUGAUAAAGGAUGAAAGGUUUGCAAAAAUUGUUGCAAAAACAUAGAUGCAAACCUUAGAGAAUGAUUGACAGAAGCAUGUGACUACGGGUCACAUGGGAGCCUGAGCCUUGGGAUCUGGAAAAAUUUUAUGCCCAAUGGUUGCUUCUUCUCAGUCUGCUCUCCUGGAAGGACCUAAGGCUUGAAGAGGAUUUUCUCUGUGAUCAACAGAGGAAAGAGGUUUUCUGGAUUUGGCUGUUGGCAGUAUCAGUAAGAAGAUCUCUGGACCUACUUGGACAUCUACCAACUGAAGAACAGAUCCUGGCCCUAUUUGAUUGAACUCCUGGUGUGAGACUUGGACAUUAGAAAGUUAAUGCUUAGCUUAGUAAUAUAGUUUAGAUAAUUCAUAGAUAUUAGCUUUUUAAUUAAGUAUAAGUUUACUCCUAAACCCAUUUUCCUUCCUACCCUUCUCAAACAAUAAAUCUGAAUUGUUGUAUGUU